CAAGGAUUGACUGAGCUCGAGGGAUUGAGGGAUACUCGAAGGAAUUGUCGGGGACUCGAGGAAUUGACGGAGACUCAAAGAAGUUGACGGAGACUCAUAGGAUUUGACGGGGGUCCUCCGUGCCACCGGCCGCGGUAAUACGGAGGUGGCAGGCGUUAUCCGGAUUCACUGGGUUUAAAGGGUGCGUAGGGGGGUUUGUAAGUCAGUGGUGAAAUCUCCAAGCUAAACUUGGAAACUGCCUUGGAUACUAUGAGUCUUGAAUUCUGUGGAGGUGGGCGGAAUAUGUCAUGUAGCGGUGAAAUGCUUAAAUAUGACAUAGAACACCGAUUGCAAAGGCACCUCACUACCCGAAAAUUGACGCUGAGGCACGAAAGCGUGGGGAUCAAACAGGAUUAGAUACCCUGGUAGUCCACGCCCUAAACAAUGAUUACUCGACAUACGCGAUACACUGUGUGUGUCUGAGCGAAAGCUUUAAGUAUCCCACCUGGGAAGUACAUCCGCAGGGUUGAAACUCAAAGGAAUUUGACGG
RNAcentral lists this ribosomal RNA (529 nucleotides) under uncultured Chitinophagaceae bacterium. Its description in RNAcentral is "bacterial SSU rRNA". It matches the Rfam family "Bacterial small subunit ribosomal RNA", at positions 377 to 916 of the family's 1533-position model. The record is from RNAcentral. Lineage: Bacteria; Pseudomonadati; Bacteroidota; Chitinophagia; Chitinophagales; Chitinophagaceae.